This 429-nucleotide ribosomal RNA is filed under the name uncultured bacterium. RNAcentral's name for it is "bacterial SSU rRNA". It matches the Rfam family "Bacterial small subunit ribosomal RNA", at positions 355 to 775 of the family's 1533-position model. The record is from RNAcentral.
UGGGGAAUUGUUCGCAAUGGGCGCAAGCCUGACGACGCAACGCCGCGUGGAGGACGAAGAUUUUCGGAUCGUAAACUCCUUUCGAUCGGGAAGAACAGCUAUCGGGUGAAUAGCCCGGAAGUCUGACGGUACCGAGAGAAGAAGCCCCGGCUAACUCCGUGCCAGCAGCCGCGGUAAUACGGGGGGGGCAAGCGUUGUUCGGAAUUACUGGGCGUAAAGGGGUUGUAGGCGGCCAACUAAGUCCGACGUGAAAUCCCAAGGCUUAACCUUGGAACUGCGUCGGAUACUGGAUGGCUUGAAUUCGGGAGAGGGAUGCGGAAUUCCAGGUGUAGCGGUGAAAUGCGUAGAUAUCUGGAGGAACACCGGUGGCGAAGGCGGCAUCCUGGACCGACAUUGACGCUGAGAACCGAAAGCUAGGGGAGCAAACGG